UACGGAGGUGGCAAGCGUUGUUCGGAAUUACUGGGCGUAAAGGGCGCGUAGGCGGUCAGGUAAGUCCCGUGUGAAAUCCCUCGGCUCAACUGAGGAACUGCACGGGAAACUGCCUGGCUCGAGUUCGGGAGAGGGAAGCGGAAUUCCGGGUGUAGCGGUGAAAUGCGUAGAUAUCCGGAGGAACACCGGUGGCGAAGGCGGCUUCCUGGACCGACACUGACGCUGAGGCGCGAAAGCGUGGGGAGCAAACAGG
RNAcentral lists this ribosomal RNA (253 nucleotides) under uncultured bacterium. RNAcentral describes it as "partial 16S ribosomal RNA". It matches the Rfam family "Bacterial small subunit ribosomal RNA", at positions 524 to 776 of the family's 1533-position model. The record is from RNAcentral.